UUGUUCCCUUGAGGAGUGGCUUCCGAAGCUAACGCGUUAAAUCGACCGCCUGGGGAGUACGGCCGCAAGGUUAAAACUCAAAUGAAUUGACGGGGGCCCGCACAAGCGGUGGAGCAUGUGGUUUAAUUCGAUGCAACGCGAAGAACCUUACCUACUCUUGACAUCCAGAGAAUUUAGCAGAGAUGCUUUAGUGCCUUCGGGAACUCUGAGACAGGUGCUGCAUGGCUGUCGUCAGCUCGUGUUGUGAAAUGUUGGGUUAAGUCCCGCAACGAGCGCAACCCUUAUCCUUUGUUGCCAGCACAUUAUGGUGGGAACUCAAAGGAGACUGCCGGUGAUAAACCGGAGGAAGGUGGGGAUGACGUCAAGUCAUCAUGGCCCUUACGAGUAGGGCUACACACGUGCUACAAUGGCGUAUACAAAGAGAAGCGACCUCGCGAGAGCAAGCGGAACUCAUAAAGUACGUCGUAGUCCGGAUUGGAGUCUGCAACUCGACUCCAUGAAGUCGGAAUCGCUAGUAAUCGUAGAUCAGAAUGCUACGGUGAAUACGUUCCCGGGCCUUGUACACACCGCCCGUCACACCAUGGGAGUGGGUUGCAAAAGAAGUAGGUAGCUUAACCUUCGGGAGGGCGCUUGCCACUUUGUGAUUCAUGACUGGGGUGAAGUCGUAACAAGGUAACCA
RNAcentral lists this ribosomal RNA (679 nucleotides) under uncultured Providencia sp. RNAcentral's name for it is "bacterial SSU rRNA". It matches the Rfam family "Bacterial small subunit ribosomal RNA", at positions 824 to 1502 of the family's 1533-position model. Lineage: Bacteria; Pseudomonadati; Pseudomonadota; Gammaproteobacteria; Enterobacterales; Morganellaceae. The record is from RNAcentral.